UACGGAAGGUCCGGGCGUUAUCCGGAUUUAUUGGGUUUAAAGGGAGCGUAGGCCGGAGAUUAAGCGUGUUGUGAAAUGUAGACGCUCAACGUCUGCACUGCAGCGCGAACUGGUUUCCUUGAGUACGCACAAAGUGGGCGGAAUUCGUGGUGUAGCGGUGAAAUGCUUAGAUAUCACGAAGAACUCCGAUUGCGAAGGCAGCUCACUGGAGCGCAACUGACGCUGAAGCUCGAAAGUGCGGGUAUCGAACAGGAUUAGAUACCCUGGUAGUCCGCACGGUAAACGAUGGAUGCCCGCUGUUGGUCUGAAUAGGUCAGCGGCCAAGCGAAAGCAUUAAGCAUCCCACCUGGGGAGUACGCCGGCAACGGUGAA
RNAcentral lists this ribosomal RNA (372 nucleotides) under uncultured bacterium. RNAcentral describes it as "bacterial SSU rRNA". It matches the Rfam family "Bacterial small subunit ribosomal RNA", at positions 524 to 898 of the family's 1533-position model. The record is from RNAcentral.